Molecule: ribosomal RNA, 404 nt
Filed under: uncultured bacterium
Lineage: Bacteria
Description: bacterial SSU rRNA
Rfam family: Bacterial small subunit ribosomal RNA
Source: RNAcentral
UGGGGAAUCUUGCGCAAUGGGCGAAAGCCUGACGCAGCCAUGCCGCGUGAGUGAAGAAGGUCUUAGGAUUGUAAAGCUCUUUCGCUCGUGACGAUGAUGACGGUAACGAGAGAAGAAGCCCCGGCUAACUUCGUGCCAGCAGCCGCGGUAAUACGAAGGGGGCUAGCGUUGUUCGGAAUUACUGGGCGUAAAGCGCGCGUAGGCGGUUUUGCAAGCCAGAGGUGAAAUGCCUGAGCUCAACUCAGGAAUGGCCUUUGGGACUGCGAGGCUUUGAGGACUGGAGAGGUGAGUGGAAUUCCCAGUGUAGAGGUGAAAUUCGUAGAUAUUGGGAAGAACACCGGUGGCGAAGGCGGCUCACUGGCCAGUUUCUGACGCUGUAGCGCGAAAGCGUGGGGAUCAAACAG